Molecule: non-coding RNA, 487 nt
Filed under: Oryctes borbonicus
Lineage: Eukaryota; Metazoa; Arthropoda; Insecta; Coleoptera; Scarabaeidae
Description: Eukaryotic small subunit ribosomal RNA
Rfam family: Eukaryotic small subunit ribosomal RNA
Source: Rfam by way of RNAcentral
CUACAGCAGAUAUAACUUGAACGUUUGCUGCUAUUUUCAUAAUUACGCAGCCGUCGAAUUUAAUAAAAGGAUUUCGGGAGUUAGGAUAAUUGAAGUGACGUAAAUGGACGUCUGUAUUUUUAUUUUUUUUUACCGAUGAAAGCUAAAAUUAUAUUCAUUGAUACUUAUUAUUAUUAAUUUUUCCUUAUUGUUAAUAAUAAUUAACAAAACUUUUUUGCUGAUGGCACGGCCUCGCAUCGGCGACGCGUCUACCUUAUCAGCUGUUGAUGAUAGGUUCUGCUCCUACCAUCGUUGUAACGGGUAGCGGGAAAUCAGGGUUCGGUUCCGGAGAGUGGGACUGAGAAACGGCUACCACAUCCAAGGAAGGCAGAAGACGCGCAAAUUACCCAAUCCCGGCACGGAGAGGUAGUGACGGAAAAUAACGAUUUAACGAGGAUCAAUUGGAGGACAAAUCUGGUGCCAGCAGCCACGGUAGUUCCAGCUCCAA